UGUUCGUCCCUCGCGACGGUAGGUUGGAAACCCCGCCAGGCCCGGAAGGGAGCAACGGUACCAACUGAUUCGUGCGCCGAGACCAGGCGGGCGGGG
Molecule: signal recognition particle RNA, 96 nt
Filed under: Thiomicrospira sp. WB1
Lineage: Bacteria; Pseudomonadati; Pseudomonadota; Gammaproteobacteria; Thiotrichales; Piscirickettsiaceae
Description: Bacterial small signal recognition particle RNA
Rfam family: Bacterial small signal recognition particle RNA
About the family: The signal recognition particle (SRP) is a universally conserved ribonucleoprotein involved in the co-translational targeting of proteins to membranes.
Source: Rfam by way of RNAcentral